Rattus rattus (black rat) is the source of this 1037-nucleotide long non-coding RNA. RefSeq lists it as uncharacterized. Lineage: Eukaryota; Metazoa; Chordata; Mammalia; Rodentia; Muridae. The transcript is spliced from 3 exons. The record is from RefSeq and is a predicted model, not a curated record.
UUUUAAGCCCCGGACCGCGCGGCCUUUGCUUCCGUUUCAUUGGGAGGACCGGACCGCGCCCACGUCCAGCGCCGGGAGGGUGGUCUUAAAGGUGUAUGUUCUUCCGGUUCUGGUGCAUUUUAUGGCUCUUGUUUACGCUGGCGUUUUUGUGAAGAAAAGGGGGAUGAACAGAAUGCGGCCGGGCAGGUGUCCCUGUUUCCUUCGAGCGGCAGCUGGCAGGUUUUCUCACAGAACCUCUCGUGCAUUGGAUGUGCUGAAUUGGUUACCACUGAUGACUUCCCGUCUCUACCUCCCCUUUGCUACAAGGACGGAUGAGCCACCAUAUCUGGAUUUUUGCAUAGUUUAAGGAUUUGAACUUAGAUCUGUUAUGUGUUCAGCAAACGAUUUCCCCACUAAACAACUCUCUGGCUCACCAACAUCAUUACAGCUUGACAACAACACUUCUCUCAAGAGACACGGUUUGCCUCGGGAGUCCUAAAACUCGCCUUGUAAACCAGGCUGGCCUCAAACUCAGCUCUGCCUGCCUGCGCCUCCUUUGUGCUGAGAUGAAAUGCUCCGCCACUGCAGGUUUCCUUUCAUUAUUUCUGUGUGAAUACACUCACAUGAGGGCAGUGACCUCGGAGUCCAGAAGAGGGCGCUCCGCCCCUUGUGAGAUCCUGGAGAUCCACUCUCCUACCUGGAUAGCCAUCUCCCCAUCCCGGGUGGGCCUAAGUUCCAUUGCAUUUCACCCUAUUUUAUCACUCUGUGGCUUUUUUCCUUUGUCACAUGCACGUACAGGCAUUCGUGUAUGUGGGGGUCAGAGGUUGGCAUCAUGUCUUCCUUCAUCUAUAUUUUGUACUUUUUUGAGGAAGAGACGAGAGAUUUUUCCGAGGGUCACUGGCAGGCUAGUUUAGCCUCGUGGAAUUCCAAGUUCUCCGAGGGCAUGCAGAAGAUUUUUAUGCAAGAACUGGGAUUUGAACACAGAUUUUCCUGUUUUUAUGGCAAGUACUUGACCAACUAAGCUAUGACUCAAGCCUUAUUUUUUGUUUGAUUUUUUU